GUACACUCCUACGGGAGGCAGCAGUGGGGAAUAUUGGACAAUGGGCGCAAGCCUGAUCCAGCCAUGCCGCGUGAGUGAUGAAGGCCCUAGGGUUGUAAAGCUCUUUCACCGGUGAAGAUAAUGACGGUAACCGGAGAAGAAGCCCCGGCUAACUUCGUGCCAGCAGCCGCGGUAAUACGAAGGGGGCUAGCGUUGUUCGGAUUUACUGGGCGUAAAGCGCACGUAGGCGGACUAUCAAGUCAGGGGUGAAAUCCCGGGGCUCAACCCCGGAACUGCCUUUGAUACUGGUAGUCUUGAGUUCGAGAGAGGUGAGUGGAAUUCCGAGUGUAGAGGUGAAAUUCGUAGAUAUUCGGAGGAACACCAGUGGCGAAGGCGGCUCACUGGCUCGAUACUGACGCUGAGGUGCGAAAGCGUGGGGAGCAAACAGGAUUAGAAACCCCGGUAGUCC
This 448-nucleotide ribosomal RNA is filed under the name uncultured organism. Its description in RNAcentral is "partial 16S ribosomal RNA". It matches the Rfam family "Bacterial small subunit ribosomal RNA", at positions 331 to 796 of the family's 1533-position model. The record is from RNAcentral.